Non-coding RNA from Mesitornis unicolor (brown roatelo), 444 nucleotides. The record is from the annotation of a RefSeq genome assembly. NCBI's taxonomy places the organism in Eukaryota, Metazoa, Chordata, Aves, Mesitornithiformes, Mesitornithidae.
AUGCACCGUGGAUAUCUCACCCUCACUGCCUUCCUGGGCCAACUGCUGGAUACCAUGGGGCAGAUCACCGUCACCCAGCAAGAAGGACAAGUCACAGUGAAGCAGAGAGACACCUUCAAAACAACCUGCACAUACCAAACCUCCAACUUUUAUGGUUUAUUCUGGUACCAGCAGAAGAAAGGCCAAGCCCCUCAGCUGCUCUCAUAUAUGGCAAGAGCUCAAUCCAAGCAGAGUGGCCGUCUCACCACGUUGCUGAACACCACAGAGAAAUACAGCCUCCUGAAGCUGGAGGAAGUUGAGAUCUCCGACAGUGCCUUAUACCUUUGUGCUGUCACUCCUGGUUUUGAUUUUGCAUGGUCAGAGGUUUCGGGAGACAGUCCCAACCUCAGCCUCAUACCGGCAAGUGUCCCAUCUACCUCAUUGAUAGAAACAAAGAAUGCAUGA